GACGAACGCUGGCGGCGCGCUUAACACAUGCAAGUCGAGCGGAAAGGCCUGCUUUCCCUUGUGGAUUGCGGGUACUCGAGUGGCGAACGGGUGAGUAACACGUGAGUGAUCUGCCCCCAACUUGGGUAUAAGCCUGGGAAACUGGGUCUAAUUCCCGAUAGGACUGCAGGGUGGUGCCUGUGGUGGAAAACGAUUUUCUAGUGGUUGGGGAUGAGCUCGCGGCCUAUCAGCUUGUUGGUGGGGUAAUGGCCUACCAAGGCGGCGACGGGUAGCCGGCCUGAGAGGGUGGACGGCCACAUUGGGACUGAGAUACGGCCCAGACUCCUACGGGAGGCAGCAGUGGGGAAUAUUGCACAAUGGGCGGAAGCCUGAUGCAGCGACGCCGCGUGGGGGAUGACGGCCUUCGGGUUGUAAACUCCUUUCGACCGCGAGGAAGCCACCUGGUUGGAAGGGUGGUGACGGUAGUGGUAGAAGAAGCACCGGCUAACUACGU
Molecule: ribosomal RNA, 493 nt
Filed under: uncultured bacterium
Lineage: Bacteria
Description: partial 16S ribosomal RNA
Rfam family: Bacterial small subunit ribosomal RNA
Source: RNAcentral